UACGAAGGGGGCUAGCGUUGUUCGGAAUUACUGGGCGUAAAGGGUGCGUAGGUGGUUAUGUAAGUCAGAAGUGAAAGCCCUGGGCUCAACCCGGGAAUUGCUUUUGAAACUAUAUAGCUAGAGUUCGAGAGAGGUAAGUGGAAUAUCCAGUGUAGAGGUAAAAUUCGUAGAUAUUGGAUGGAACACCAGUGGCGAAGGCGGCUUACUGGCUCGAUACUGACACUGAGGCACGAAAGCGUGGGGAGCAAACAGG
Molecule: ribosomal RNA, 253 nt
Filed under: uncultured bacterium
Lineage: Bacteria
Description: partial 16S ribosomal RNA
Rfam family: Bacterial small subunit ribosomal RNA
Source: RNAcentral